CAAGUCCUUUUGACUUAAUCGAGAUAAAACAUCAUUUUGUUUCUACGUAGCCAUAUAGAUCGCAUGCGAAUAAAUCGCGGCCGUUUCUCACGAUUUAUAUGAUUUCUCAUAGAAAUAUUAGUUAUCAUACGCUAUCGUGCAAUAGUCGAACGAAAAUGAUCUAAGAGAAUAGUUUGUAUGUAUUAUAUAUUUCAAGUUCAAACGUUCGAGAAUAAUUGAUCUUUGCAGAAAAAGAAUGAUCGUUUAAAUAUGGAUUAGAAAUAAUGAUUUUUUAUUUGGUGUCAUUUAAAAUGUACCGGGCGACGAGAAAUACUCGAUCCACCAUCGAACCCUCCCCCACUUUACCUUACUGUGCUACCGUCGAUGUUGGCCGUCGAUUCGGCGGACGAUUCGACGGACGACAGAUUCGCGGACUUCGCAUUACUGAUUGUGGCUUUCAAUAUAGAAAGGACGCGUCUUUGUUAGUUGUUAAUGUUUUUUUAAUAGUGCUCCAUUUGCAUACAUUACGGUGAUUCAUUUAAAGAAGAUUAUUAUGAAGAAAUUAGUGCAAUUCCAUCAUCUUUCACCGUAUACAAGCAAGUAUAUGGGGAUUCGACGAUAAGUAUCGACGGUCAAUGCAGUCGAAUGUUGCUCUCUUCGUUGAACAUGCAUAUAUCUACUAACGUCUUACCUGGAUUUUCAUUUCCGCUGGGUAUUGGAUGAUGGAUCGUUGUUAGCCACAUCGGUGAAAGGCAUGGGGCAUCAUUAAGGCCGUGGCGUUCAGAUGGCGAUCGAUGAAAUUCAUAAAUAUCAUGAGAAGCUACUGGAGAAUCGAUGUGAGUGACUGUUGGUAAAAAUAACUCCCUCGUACCUAAUUUGGAUGGGAGAGCCAAGUUUUGAUAAAAGCUACCCCGUGCGGCGAGGCAGCUUUUUUUGGACGUUUGCUUCGCAAUCACCCAGAUAUGCUUUUACUCGAGAGCAUGACUAUCAAUUCUGGUGAAAAAGUGGCUUCAACAAUUAUUAUGAAAAUGUAUAUAUGAGAAAUAUAUUGUUGCGUAUAUCAAUUUGAUUUAACUUUCUCAUAAAUUUCUAAUCCAAAAUAACGAUUGGAUUGGAUAUUUAAAAGAACGCAAUUAUAGAUGACAAAUUUCAUUCUAAACUUAAAAUCUAUAUAUUACAUAAUGCGCGUAUCUCAAAAGUAAGACAACAUUUAGCUGAUUACAUAGAAAUAAAAUAAAGUUUUUAAAAUAAAUUUCCUGAUUUGUUAAAUCAAAUAAAAAAACAUUGUUGAAACGCGUCUCAAAAUUCUAUUAGGGUCUAUAGGAUUUAUACAAGGAAAGGAUAAUAAUCGUGUUUCAGUAUAUUAAAUCAUA
This 1352-nucleotide long non-coding RNA is filed under the name Polistes fuscatus (common paper wasp). RNAcentral describes it as "uncharacterized LOC122523374, transcript variant X3". The record is from RNAcentral. Lineage: Eukaryota; Metazoa; Arthropoda; Insecta; Hymenoptera; Vespidae.